This is a long non-coding RNA of Cyanistes caeruleus (blue tit), 694 nucleotides long. RefSeq lists it as uncharacterized. The record is from RefSeq and is a predicted model, not a curated record. Lineage: Eukaryota; Metazoa; Chordata; Aves; Passeriformes; Paridae.
CAAGAAACUCAGGGAAACUCUGGAACAGCCAAGCUCUCAUCUUCAAUGACUGCAGAAAGUUCUGAGGCUUCAGUGUGAAUGAAGCUCAUAUAAAGUAAAGAAUAUUUUGCUAGUGCUGUACUGGUUCCUCAGAUGAUAGUAAUAUUAUUCUUAUCCCAGAAUAAUGGUGUAUUCUUUGUACAGUGUUUCAGAAGUGGAAUGUCAUAAAAAUCAUAUCACCCUCCAACUUCCACAUGACACCAGUAAUUCCUAGUCUGGACUAGGAAUGUGUGCUGUUUUUAGACUGGGAUGUAAUUAAUUUUCUUCGCAGUACCUAAUGUUGCCCUGUGUCUUGGAUUCAUGAUGAAAACUAUGCUGAUAACCCAGGGAUGUUUUCGUUAUGGAUGAGCUUUUCUCACACAGAGCCAAGGCCUCUUCUGCUCCUUACCAACCCCACUAGUAAGGAGGGUGGUAUGCACAAGGACACAGCCAGGACAGCUGAUCCCAAAUGACCCAGUGCAUAUCACAUCCCAUACAGCAACAUGCUCAGCAUAUAAAUCUGGGGGAGAAGAAGUACGUGGGUCACGCUUAGAGUGAUGACAUUUUGUCUUCCCAGGUCCCACUGCAUGUGAUGGGACCCUGCUUUCCUGGACAUGGCCAAACACUUUCCUGACAUGGGAAGUGAUGAAUAAAUUCCUUGGUUUGCUUUGCUUGA